This 253-nucleotide ribosomal RNA is filed under the name uncultured bacterium. RNAcentral describes it as "partial 16S ribosomal RNA". It matches the Rfam family "Bacterial small subunit ribosomal RNA", at positions 524 to 776 of the family's 1533-position model. The record is from RNAcentral.
UACGUAGGGACCAAGCGUUGUCCGGAAUCAUUGGGCGUAAAGCGCGCGUAGGUGGCCAUUUAAGUCCGCUGUGAAAGUCAGAGGCUCAACCUUUGAAAGCCGGUGGAUACUGGAUGGCUGGAGUGUGGCAGAGGAAGGUGGAAUUCCAGGUGUAGCGGUGAAAUGCGUAGAGAUCUGGAGGAACACCGAUGGCGAAGGCAGCCUUCUGGGCCAACACUGACGCUCAUGCACGAAAGCGUGGGGAGCAAACAGG